ACAUCCAGCGAACUUGGCAGAGAUGCCUUGGGUGCCUUCGGGAACGCUGAGACAGGUGCUGCAUGGCUGUCGUCAGCUCGUGUUGUGAAAUGUUGGGUUAAGUCCCGNAACGAGCGCAACCCUUAUCCUUUGUUGCCAGCGAUUCGGUCGGGAACUCAAAGGAGACUGCCGGUGAUAAACCGGAGGAAGGUGGGGAUGACGUCAAGUCAUCAUGGCCCUUACGAGUAGGGCUACACACGUGCUACAAUGGCGCAUACAAAGAGAAGCGACCUCGCGAGAGCAAGCGGACCUCAUAAAGUGCGUCGUAGUCCGGAUCGGAGUCUGCAACUCGACUCCGUGAAGUCGGAAUCGCUAGUAAUCGUGGAUCAGAAUGCCACGGUGAAUACGUUCCCGGGCCUUGUACACACCGCCCGUCACACCAUGGGAGUGGGUUGCAAAAGAAGUAGGUAGCUUAACCUUCGGGAGGGCGCUUACCACUUUGUGAUUCAUGACUGGGGUGAAGUCGUAACAAGGUAAGCGUAGCGAG
RNAcentral lists this ribosomal RNA (526 nucleotides) under uncultured bacterium. Its description in RNAcentral is "bacterial SSU rRNA". It matches the Rfam family "Bacterial small subunit ribosomal RNA", at positions 984 to 1509 of the family's 1533-position model. The record is from RNAcentral.